AAUCAACGCUGGCGGCGUGCCUCAGACAUGCAAGUCGAACGAUUAAAGCUCUCUUCGGAGAGUGUAUAGAGUGGCGCACGGGUGAGUAACACGUAAGUAAUCUACCUUCGAGUGGGGAAUAACGUCCGGAAACGGACGCUAAUACCGCAUAAUGCAGCGGCAUCGCAAGAUGACAGUUGUUAAAGAUUUAUCGCUUGAAGAGGAGCUUGCGGCAGAUUAGCUAGUUGGUAAGGUAACGGCUUACCAAGGCUACGAUCUGUACCCGGUCUAAGAGGACGGUCGGACACACUGACACUGAAUAACGGGUCAGACUCCUACGGGAGGCAGCAGUCGGGAAUUUUGGGCAAUGGGCGAAAGCCUGACCCAGCAACGCCGCGUGAAGGAU
RNAcentral lists this ribosomal RNA (385 nucleotides) under uncultured bacterium. RNAcentral's name for it is "bacterial SSU rRNA". It matches the Rfam family "Bacterial small subunit ribosomal RNA", at positions 32 to 409 of the family's 1533-position model. The record is from RNAcentral.